GAUGAACGCUGGCGGCGUGCCUAAUACAUGCAAGUCGAGCGAACAGACGAGGAGCUUGCUCCUCUGACGUUAGCGGCGGACGGGUGAGUAACACGUGGAUAACCUACCUAUAAGACUGGGAUAACUUCGGGAAACCGGAGCUAAUACCGGAUAAUAUAUUGAACCUCAUGGUUCAAUAGUGAAAGACGGUUUUGCUGUCACUUAUAGAUGGAUCCGCGCCGCAUUAGCUAGUUGGUAAGGUAACGGCUUACCAAGGCAACGAUGAGUAGCCGACCUGAGAGGGGGAUGGGCCACACGGGAACUGAGACACGGUCCAGACUCCUACGGGAGGCAGCAGUAGGGAAUCUUCCGCAAUGGGCGAAAGCCUGACGGAGCAACGCCGCGGGAGUGAUGAAGGUCUUCGGAUCGUAAAACUCUGUUAUUAGGGAAGAACAAAUGUGUAAGUAACUAUGCACGUCUUGACGGUACCUAAUCAGAAAGCCACGGCUAACUACGUG
Molecule: ribosomal RNA, 497 nt
Filed under: uncultured bacterium
Lineage: Bacteria
Description: partial 16S ribosomal RNA
Rfam family: Bacterial small subunit ribosomal RNA
Source: RNAcentral